Molecule: ribosomal RNA, 311 nt
Filed under: uncultured bacterium
Lineage: Bacteria
Description: bacterial SSU rRNA
Rfam family: Bacterial small subunit ribosomal RNA
Source: RNAcentral
GAUGAACGCUGGCGGCGUGCUUAACACAUGCAAGUCGAGCGAUGAAGUUUCCUUCGGGAAACGGAUUAGCGGCGGACGGGUGAGUAACACGUGGGUAACCUGCCUCAUAGAGUGGAAUAGCCUUCCGAAAGGAAGAUUAAUACCGCAUAACGUUGAAAGUAUGGCAUCGAUCAUUUAACCAAAGGAGCAAUCCGCUAUGAGAUGGACCCGCGGCGCAUUAGCUAGUUGGUGGGGUAACGGCCUACCAAGGCGACGAUGCGUAGCCGACCUGAGAGGGUGAUCGGCCACAUUGGGACUGAGACACGGCCCAG